GUCUACGACCAUGCCACCCUGAACAAGCCCUAUCCCAUCUGAUCUCGGAAGCUACGUAGGGUUGGGCCUGGUUAGUACUUGGAUGGGAGACCACCUAGGAAGACCAGGUGCUGUAGGUG
Molecule: ribosomal RNA, 119 nt
Filed under: Pteropus alecto (black flying fox)
Lineage: Eukaryota; Metazoa; Chordata; Mammalia; Chiroptera; Pteropodidae
Source: RNAcentral